CAUGAGUGCUAUAUCUACUGCACUGUCAAAGAACUUAGAAUGGAUUUACCCCAUGAGUUAUAAACAACAAGGACAUUAUGAAUGUGGAUACUAUGUCAUGAAUUGGAUGUCAGAAAUAAUUGAAGGGGGAGUAACAAAUGGUUGGAGUGAGCUUUUUGAAGAUGCUACACCAUUGGGGGAAACCAAAUUGGAAGACAUUCGGAUUCAUUGGGGAAAUUUGUUUUUAGAAAAAUUUAGAAAUAGAUCAUGUUGAAAGGUCUAGUAUUACAUGUAAAAUUUAGAAAUAGGUGAAUGUGGUUUCAGUAUUAGGCUGCCCAGUGCAUGUCUAAUGUAGUGUGACCUAAUUUUUUUGAUCUUCUCUUCUCCUUGUAAGAGAAAAACUCUUCUUUAUGGAUACUAGAUUAGCCUCUCUUGGUUUCCAAGUAUAUUGUUUCUUUAGUAUUAUAUAUAUUAUAUAAUGAUGUAAUUGAGCCAUUUCUAUAA
Non-coding RNA from Cajanus cajan (pigeon pea), 483 nucleotides. Lineage: Eukaryota; Viridiplantae; Streptophyta; Magnoliopsida; Fabales; Fabaceae. The record is from RefSeq and is a predicted model, not a curated record.